This 667-nucleotide ribosomal RNA is filed under the name uncultured bacterium. Its description in RNAcentral is "bacterial SSU rRNA". It matches the Rfam family "Bacterial small subunit ribosomal RNA", at positions 8 to 668 of the family's 1533-position model. The record is from RNAcentral.
AGAGUUUGAUCAUGGCUCAGAAUGAACGUUGGCGGCGUGGAUUAGGCAUGCAAGUCGUGCGAGAACUUGUAUUUUGAAGCUUCGGCUGAUGAAUGCAAGGGAAAGCGGCGUAAGGGAGAGUAACGCGUGGAUACCUACCCUCGGGACCGGGAUAGCGGCGGGAAACUGCCGGUAAUACCGGAUAAAGUCCCCGGACCAAAGGUGUGAUUCCGCCUGAGGAUGGGUUCGCGUCCUAUUAGCUUGUUGGUGGGGUAAUGGCCUACCAAGGCAAAGAUGGGUACCGGGUGUGAGAGCAUGGCCCGGCUCACUGGGACUGAGACACUGCCCAGACACCUACGGGUGGCUGCAGUCGAGAAUCUUCGGCAAUGGGCGCAAGCCUGACCGAGCGACGCCGCGUGCGGGACGAAGGCCUUCGGGUUGUAAACCGCUGUCAGAGAGGUGGAAAUGUAUUGGGGUCAUCCCCAUUAUUUGACCUAAUCUCAGAGGAAGGACGGGCUAAGUUCGUGCCAGCAGCCGCGGUAAGACGAACCGUCCAAACGUUAUUCGGAAUCACUGGGCUUAAAGAGUGCGUAGGCGGCCUAGAAAGUUGGGUGUGAAAUCCCACGGCUCAACCGUGGAACUGCGCUCAAAACUUCUAGGCUUGAGGGAGAUAGGGGUGAGCGGAACU